UGAAACGUGAUAGUUAAUGUGAAUCGCAACUCACCGUGAAUCAUCAAAAUUUUGAACGCAUAUUGCACCCUUCAAUUAUUUGAAGGGUAUUUAUUACUGAGAGUUCUGAAUAAGAUGGGUUGGACAAAGAAAUUUGUCUUUCCUCAAUCAAUAAUUUAACAUUUUGUUAGAUUUUGAGUCUCGAAUAGUCGGACUUGAUUCGACAAGAGACCCUUCUCAAUAAAAUAUCGAACCUCAGUGAUAAAGGAAGACCUGCUGAAUUUAA
RNAcentral lists this unclassified non-coding RNA (265 nucleotides) under uncultured fungus. RNAcentral describes it as "sequence contains ITS1". The stretch from base 1 to 106 matches the Rfam family "5.8S ribosomal RNA", at positions 49 to 154 of the family's 154-position model. Lineage: Eukaryota; Fungi. The record is from RNAcentral.